This 475-nucleotide ribosomal RNA is filed under the name uncultured bacterium. RNAcentral's name for it is "bacterial SSU rRNA". It matches the Rfam family "Bacterial small subunit ribosomal RNA", at positions 335 to 801 of the family's 1533-position model. The record is from RNAcentral.
ACUCCUACGGGAGGCAGCAGUAGGGAAGUCUUCCACAAUGGGCGCAAGCCUGAUGGAGCAACACCGCGUGAGUGAAGAAGGGUUUCGGCUCGUAAAGCUCUGUUGUUAAAGAAGAACACGUAUGAGAGUAACUGUUCAUACGUUGACGGUAUUUAACCAGAAAGUCACGGCUAACUACGUGCCAGCAGCCGCGGUAAUACGUAGGUGGCAAGCGUUAUCCGGAUUUAUUGGGGCGUAAAGAGAGUGCAGGCGGUUUUCUAAGUCUGAUGUGAAAGCCUUCGGCUUAACCGGAGAAGUGCAUCGGAAACUGGAUAACUUGGGUGCAGAAGAGGGUAGUGGAACUCCAUGUGUAGCGGUGGAAUGCGUAGAUAUAUGGAAGAACACCAGUGGCGAAGGCGGCUACCUGGUCUGCAACUGACGCUGAGACUCGAAAGCAUGGGUAGCGAACAGGAUUAGAUACCCUGGUAGGAUAGCG